This is a small nuclear RNA of Ciona intestinalis (vase tunicate), 166 nucleotides long. Its record names the gene U1. It matches the Rfam family "U1 spliceosomal RNA". From Rfam's summary of the family: U1 is a small nuclear RNA (snRNA) component of the spliceosome (involved in pre-mRNA splicing). Its 5' end forms complementary base pairs with the 5' splice junction, thus defining the 5' donor site of an intron. The record is from Ensembl. Lineage: Eukaryota; Metazoa; Chordata; Ascidiacea; Phlebobranchia; Cionidae.
AUCCCAUCAUGUGCAAGGGCCUUCACUGCGAUCAGGCAGGCAGUGGGUCCAAGGUGAGAUGGGCCAUUGCACAUCGGAUUAGCUGACCUUUGCGAUUACCCCAAAUGUGGGUAACUCGGUCGUAUAAUUUCUGUUAGUCGGGACUGCGAAAAAACGCACACCUAUA